Molecule: ribosomal RNA, 992 nt
Filed under: Neohelicascus submersus
Lineage: Eukaryota; Fungi; Ascomycota; Dothideomycetes; Pleosporales; Morosphaeriaceae
Description: SSU rRNA
Rfam family: Eukaryotic small subunit ribosomal RNA
Source: RNAcentral
CUCAUUAAAUCAGUUAUCGUUUAUUUGAUAGUACCUUACUACUUGGAUAACCGUGGUAAUUCUAGAGCUAAUACAUGCUAAAAACCCCAACUUCGGAAGGGGUGUAUUUAUUAGAUAAAAAACCAAUGCCCUUCGGGGCUCUUUGGUGAUUCAUGAUAACUUCUCAGAUCGCAUGGCCUUGCGCCGGCGACGGUUCAUUCAAAUUUCUGCCCUAUCAACUUUCGAUGGUAAGGUAUUGGCUUACCAUGGUUUCAACGGGUAACGGGGAAUUAGGGUUCGAUUCCGGAGAGGGAGCCUGAGAAACGGCUACCACAUCCAAGGAAGGCAGCAGGCGCGCAAAUUACCCAAUCCCGACACGGGGAGGUAGUGACAAUAAAUACUGAUACAGGGCUCUUUUGGGUCUUGUAAUUGGAAUGAGUACAAUUUAAACCUCUUAACGAGGAACAAUUGGAGGGCAAGUCUGGUGCCAGCAGCCGCGGUAAUUCCAGCUCCAAUAGCGUAUAUUAAAGUUGUUGCAGUUAAAAAGCUCGUAGUUGAACCUUGGGCCUGGCUGGCAGGUCCGCCUCACCGCGUGUACUUGACCGGCCGGGCCUUCUCUUCUGGAGAACCUCAUGCCCUUUACUGGGCGUGUUGGGGACCAGGACUUUUACUUUGAAAAAAUUAGAGUGUUCAAAGCAGGCCUUUGCUCGAAUAUGUUAGCAUGGAAUAAUAGAAUAGGACGUGCGGUCCUAUUUUGUUGGUUUCUAGGACCGCCGUAAUGAUUAAUAGGGACAGUCGGGGGCAUCAGUAUUCAAUUGUCAGAGGUGAAAUUCUUGGAUUUAUUGAAGACUAACUACUGCGAAAGCAUUUGCCAAGGAUGUUUUCAUUAAUCAGUGAACGAAAGUUAGGGGAUCGAAGACGAUCAGAUACCGUCGUAGUCUUAACCAUAAACUAUGCCGACUAGGGAUCGGGCGAUGUUUCAAUAUUGACUCGCUCGGCACCUUACGAGAAAU